UGGGGAAUUGUUCGCAAUGGGCGCAAGCCUGACGACGCAACGCCGCGUGGAGGAUGAAGGUCUUCGGAUUGUAAACUCCUGUUGCCCGGGACGAAAUGUUCAGACCUAAUACGUCUGAGUUUGACGGUACCGGGUGAGGAAGCCCCGGCUAACUCUGUGCCAGCAGCCGCGGUAAUACAGAGGGGGCAAGCGUUGUUCGGAAUUACUGGGCGUAAAGGGCGCGUAGGCGGCCCUCUAAGUCGAACGUGAAAUCCCUGGGCUCAACCCAGGAACUGCGUCCGAGACUGGGGGGCUAGAAUCCGGGAGAGGGAUGUGGAAUUCCAGGUGUAGCGGUGAAAUGCGUAGAGAUCGGGAGGAAGGCCGGUGGCGAAGGCGGCGCUCUGGAACGUUUCUGACGCUGAGGCUCGAAAGCGUGGGGAGCAAACAGGAUUAGAUACCCACGUAGUCCCUGAGCGGGCUGGCAAGGCGCAU
This 471-nucleotide ribosomal RNA is filed under the name uncultured bacterium. RNAcentral describes it as "bacterial SSU rRNA". It matches the Rfam family "Bacterial small subunit ribosomal RNA", at positions 355 to 825 of the family's 1533-position model. The record is from RNAcentral.